AGUGAACGCUGGCGGCGUGGAUUAGGCAUGCAAGUCGAGCGAUCUUGUGUCUAGCCGCAAGGCUAGAUUCGAGAUAGCGGCAAACGGGUGAGUAACACGUGAGUAAUCUACCCUUAAGACUGGAAUAGCCCGGAGAAAUUCGGGGUAAUGACAGAUGUGACUACGACCUUUAUGAGGAUGUAGUAAAAGGCGGGGACCGUAAGGCCUGCCACUUAAGGAGGAACUCGCGUCCUAUCAGCUUGUUGGUGAGGUAACGGCCCACCAAGGCGAAGACGGGUAGCUAGUCUGAGAGGAUGUUUAGCCACACUGGGACUGAGAUACUGCCCAGACUCCUACGGGAGGCUG
Molecule: ribosomal RNA, 345 nt
Filed under: uncultured Omnitrophica bacterium
Lineage: Bacteria; Pseudomonadati; Candidatus Omnitrophota
Description: bacterial SSU rRNA
Rfam family: Bacterial small subunit ribosomal RNA
Source: RNAcentral